This 1605-nucleotide long non-coding RNA is filed under the name Sus scrofa (pig). RNAcentral describes it as "lncRNA (ENSSSCG00000062690.1)". Lineage: Eukaryota; Metazoa; Chordata; Mammalia; Artiodactyla; Suidae. The record is from RNAcentral.
GAGCUUCUAGGUGAGUGGGCCUAUCCAAGUUCUGAGGGGGUGACACAGCCCAGGUCCAAGGGGACAGAAGGCCCUGUGCGGGGACCCUGCCAGACCUCGCCUUCCGUAUCGCUCUGUCUGGCUGCUGUCUGUAUCCUAAUAAGCUGUUAAAGGUGUUCCCCUGAGUUCUGGGAGCCACUCUAGCAAAUCAGUGCAACCAGAGCAAGCGGUCAUGGGAACCUCUGAUCUACAGCUGGUGUGUUCAACGCUGGCGACAACCCGGACUCGCCACUGGCAAGGGAACGGGGCUGAGCGCGUCCUGUGGGAUCUGAGGCUCCCUCCAGCAUACGGAAGUUCCAGACCGGGGACUGAUGUGAGCCAGAGCAGGAGCAAUGCCGGAUCCUUAACCCACUGCCCCCAUCAGGAAUCGAACUGGCCCGGCCACAGAGACAAGCCAGAUCCUCAAGCCACCGCGUCACAGCGGGGACGCCACAUCGCGCCGUUCUCCGUCAUCUCCCUCUCCCGCCACCUGAGGAACGCAGGCGUGAGGUUCUACCUGUGCUUCAGAGAGCGUCAUGGCCCCUGAGGCCUUGGUGCCCUGAGAAGAGCCUCCCUCCUCUACCCACCUGGGGAACAUGGAGUCAGCGUUAAAGAUCUGGUUCCGGUGUCCUCACUCCUGCGAAACCCGCCCUGAGGUUGCUCACGCAGUCCGGGGCGGCUGCGUCUGUGCUCCCAGGGCUCCUGGACACUGAGACCCAUGCACCCUCCUAGAAGAGAGUCAAGUACCACCGCCCCGUCAGUUACAUGGUCCUGCGCCUUCUCUGCCUCACUUCUCAUUGUAUUCUCGGCAUUUAACACAGAGACUGUCACAUGGUUUACUGAAAGUCACUAAAUGUUUAUCGAAAGGAGCACUGGCUUAGAUGCUGCAUCUGUGAGCCACGCGCCAAAGGAGGUACACGCACUGUGAGAGGGCCUGCAGGUGCAAGAUGACAAAGUCUAACCACACACCCCGCACAGCAGCACUCAGGCACCCAGCCCUGCCCGCACACAACCUGUGUUAACUCUUCCACCCCCACAGGUUCUCCUUGUUCGCGGGCAGAUUCCAGAUGCUGCAAAGUCAUCUUUAACCUGGUUUCCCCUCUCAGACCUUAAUUUCCCUCCAGGAGCCCAUGAAGCUAAUACUCAUGUGUCUUUUUAAAACUUGAAUCACUUCCAAAGUUUUCAGGGCUUACUUUUCAAAGGACUCGCUGGUAGAGCUGCAACUCACUGUGCAUUUCUCAUAGUUUGUCUUAAAUUGUAUUGCAACUUCUUGAAUGUGAUAGAUGACCAGAUUUUGUUUCAAAAUUCAUAUAAGAGGUAUCUUAUAGAAUUCAUCAACAAAAAUAACACCAACAUAAAAGCUUUUAUUUACUCAGCACUUCCUUCAGGGCCAGACACAGAUUCUCCUCUAUGUCCCUCCUGUACUUAACUCAUUUAAGUGCAAAACUAAUUCCAGUGAGAGCAAAUACUUUCUUACCCUCCAUUCGAGAUGUAUUUUGAUUCAGUAAGUGUACCCCCAUCUUGGCUCUGGGAUUUACCAGAAGGAUAAUAUGUAUGUUGUGUACGUUUAUUUUUCGGAUACAUCAC